Molecule: long non-coding RNA, 421 nt
Filed under: Capsella rubella
Lineage: Eukaryota; Viridiplantae; Streptophyta; Magnoliopsida; Brassicales; Brassicaceae
Description: long non-coding RNA (CRUB_LNC003642)
Source: RNAcentral
GACUAUGAGAGUUAAGAUGUAAGCUAUGAUGAGGUCAUUUGUGCCAUUCUUGAACCCCAACCAGAUAAAGUACAAGUUUUCCCUCCGAGGAUCUCAUUGUAGCUCAAACGAAAUUUAGUUUAAGGAUCUAAUUAAAAGGCUUGGAAAGUCCUAUGACCCAAAAAAAAUAAAAGGAUUAGAAAGUCUCAAGUUUUCUAAAGAUGUAUUUUGCUUCCUCUCAGCAAGAAACAAUGGCGUUUGUGAUGAUUUGGAUAUAAGAGUGAUCUUGUAGUGUCAGUAUUUUUUUUUUUUUUUUUGUCAUCAUUACAAAUUAUACGUCUCUCUUUGAGAGGGACCGGACUCGAACCCGGAUUUGGUGAGAAGGCAACAGAAGUGAGAACCACUAGCCCACUUAUCCUUCUCUUGUAGUAGUUAGUAUUAU